This 324-nucleotide unclassified non-coding RNA is filed under the name Mycobacterium sp. pL-900. RNAcentral's name for it is "partial 16S-23S ribosomal RNA intergenic spacer". Lineage: Bacteria; Bacillati; Actinomycetota; Actinomycetes; Mycobacteriales; Mycobacteriaceae. The record is from RNAcentral.
AAGGAGCACCACGAGACCUGGGCCGGCCCCGCAGAUCGCGGGAUCAGCUGAGCUUUCAGGCGAUUCGUUGGAUGGCCUCGCACCUGUAGUGGGUGGGGGUCUGGUGCACUCAACAAACUUGGCGUGGGAUGCGGGAAAGCAUCUGCGGAAAAUCAUCAGACACACUAUUGGGCUUUGAGACAACAGGCCCGUGCCCCUUUUUUGGGGGGUGGCUCCCGCGUUGGUGGGUGUCGGCGUGUUGUUGCCUCACUUUGGUGGUGGGGUGUGGUGUUUGAUUUGUGGAUAGUGGUUGCGAGCAUCUAGCGCGCAGAAUGUGUGGUCUCA